ACAUUUAUUCAGUAAUUGUGAAACCCUUCGUCAUCCAAACGCACAACCACAUCUUCAUCAUCAUCUUUUGCUUACAAAUUGUGUUGGAUUCCUCCCAAAUCCUCUACAUAAGGUUCCGAUUGAGAAUUCCAGAGGUGUAAUCGGUGUUUAAAGGGACGGAUUGAAGCUGAAGGUGUUGUCAUCAGAAUUAGACUUGGCUCGUCCUCUUCAUUAUUUGACAUCUGAAAGUGCGACAAGAGAUCCAGAACUGGAAUGGUUGAGUCAUAUGGUUAGGCAGUUGCAAAAUAGACCCAGAUCAAGAAAUGAUUUGUGUAUGAGGUUAAUUCACAAAUUUGUGUGUUAAUUCACAAAUGACUUGUGGCGGAUUUGGGUGCACCGAGGAAACAAGUGAACAACCCACAAAUUAUUUUUGCAAAACGACUCUACAGACUUCAAAAUUACAAAUUUCGCGCAGCGAUGUCACAGAUUAGGGUGUCACAUUCUUAAAAGGUCACUCAAGUUUUGAUGUUUGAACCGCACAUAUUUUCUUUUCCGUUCUAAUGUUUUGUGUAUUUCUUUUUGUUUUUGAAGCUUACACAAGCUUUCAUUACUAAAUAUGGAACAAUGCCCUAAAACUGCAGCAUGUUUGGAUUCACUUUCAGGUUAACUAUAUAAAUAUUAAUUUAUUUAUCUGUGUUUAAGUCACUAUUGUUGAUGAGACCUUGUUUGGAUGAACUGAAAAGCUUUUUCUUUGAAUGAACACUCCAAGGUUAGGGUUUAUUCUUUGUUAUUGUUUCGAUUGUUACCGUUUUAGGUCUUAUUUGGUUUGAAAUUUGGAAUAUAUUCAGUUUAUAGUGCACCCGAUUGAUUAAGGGAAACCUGUUAUUUUAAAUUGUCUAGAUUACAGUUUAGGUUUUCAUGACCAGCAAACGUAUAUGGCUCAUUUGAAAUUUUGCAAUUAAAAUUUGUAGUAUUUGUUAAAUGGUAAUUAUAUAUAGACAUUAGAUUAGUCAUCUAAAAUCGUAUUUUCAUUUUUAUUAGUUGUUCAAAACAAAAGUUCACGUGAUUGACUUUGUGAAACUCUUUUUCAUUUAAAUUUCCGUACAUUAAAUUUUUUCUCAAAUAAAUUUUUCGUUCAUCAACAGGAGAAGACAGAUAUGUUGUUUUAUUAUCUAGAUAGCAGCUCUUCUACCCUCUUUCAAUUGCAGGUUCUGGUUGAUUAACUUACAGGACAUCUUGAGGAUAAAAAGCACAUAUGCAAAGCUUGGUUGUACUCAAGGAUGGUUUGCGGCAUCUAUCUUCCCACCUUCAUCAAAGCUAUUGAUUAAGCAAUUGUAGGGCUGGAUACCUUGGGUGAGGAGUUUUACAACAAUAGCACCUUGACCACGCAACUCCUUUGUGACAAUCUCACUUUGUGGACCUUUGAUAUGCAGCAGGAUGGGGCUAAUGAAAUUAAGAAAGCACUUGGUGCAAAGCAAAAUGAGGGUCUACAGCAACAACAGUGAGGCACCUCAUUCUUCUUAUCUUUGUUUCGGAGAAUUUGGCACUUAUUUAUCCAUCUUUAUUUCUUGAGCUUGUAAAUUUAGUUUCAUGUCAUUUUUGAAUGAUUAGUAAUUGUUUACUUUUGGUAACUGAUAUUUUUUUUAUUCGGUUUUUGUUUCGA
Molecule: long non-coding RNA, 1642 nt
Organism: Helianthus annuus (common sunflower)
Lineage: Eukaryota; Viridiplantae; Streptophyta; Magnoliopsida; Asterales; Asteraceae
Exons: 7
Source: RefSeq, a predicted model, not a curated record